GGGGACAUACUGUUUUUGCCCUGUCUGUUGGUUGGUCUGUUGGUUGGUUGGUUGGUCUGUUUGCGCCAACUUUAACAUUUUGCAAUAACUUUUGCUAUAUUGAAUAUAGCAACUUGAUAUUUGGCAUGCAUGUGUAUCUCAUGGAGCUGCACAUUUUGAGUGGUGAAAGGUCAAGGUCAUCCUUCAAGGUCAGAGGUCAAAUAUAUGUGGCCAAAAUCGCUCAUUUUAUGAAUACUUUUGCAAUAUUGAAGAUAGCAACUUGAUAUUUGGCAUGCAUGUGUAUCUCAUGGAGCUGCACAUUUUGAGUGGUGAAAGGUCAAGGUCAUCCUUCAAGGUCAGAGGUCAAUUAUAUGUGGCCCAAAUCGCUUAUUUUAUGAAUACUUUUGCAAUAUUGAAGAUAGCAACUUCAUAUUUGGCAAGCAUGUGUAUCUCAUGGAGCUGCACAUUUUGAGUGGUGAAAGGUCAAGGUCGAGGUCAUCCUUCAAGGUCAAAUAUAUGGGUCAAAAUUGCUCAUGUAAUGUCACUUCUGCAAUAUUGAAGCUAGCAAUUUUAUAUUUGAAAUGCAUGUGUAUCUCAUGGAGCUGCACAUUUUGAGUGGUGAAGGGUCAAGGUCAUCCUUCAAGGUCAAACGUCAUAUAGGGGGACAUUGUGUUUCACAAACGCAUCUUGUUUGUAAUAAUAUGCAGAUAGUAUUUUAGAAUUGACAGUGUUUGAAAUGUAACUCUUGUAAACAUUUGAAAGGAUUGUCAAAAUAAGUUUUUUGAGCAAACUUCUUCUUGACUUCUCAAGCAAUUGACAUGAAAACUGUAGUACGUCAUCUCUGUCAAGUGUAGAAACCACUUUCUUGCAUAAUUAUCACCUGAUUUCUAAGUUGUAUUCCCUUCAACCUAGCCAUGUGACAAAGUAUAUUUAUUCAUAUUUGUGACAUUUAGUUAAAGUUAUUGUUUUUAUUUUCUAAAUAAAUAGUGCCGUUGUCAUAACUAUACUCACAAGAAACUUUACUUGUUACAUUGGUGUUGUUGUUUAAUGAAGAAGUUUACAAUAUGCACUUUUUAAUAUGUCUGUUUUUCCUUUGUUUUAUGUUACUAUUUUCUAAAGGUUGUAAAUUGUUGAACAGAAAUUGUACUGUAGAUUUGCCUGAUGUUACAAAAACUGUGCCUGGAUUUAUCACUGAAAUGAUAUGCUGUUGAUGUUGUUGAAUUGUCUAGUCACAAUGAAAGUUGUUGUUGAUAUUUUUAAAAGUAAGUACAGAACAAAGAAAAGCUGCCUGUUCUAAUAAUUUAAAUUGUUUUGUGUGUUAACAUAAAUAAGUAUAUACAAUUUGAACUUUGUUUUUAUAUUCUGAAUAAAAAGUUAUAUGUGAAGUGCCCUGCAACACUGUCAAAGUUAUUUGUGUUAUGUUCAAUUUUUAAAAUAUUGGAUUUCGGUAAUGUUCUUAAGACAUCUCAUUUAUUCAUUUUACGCAAAUAAAUUUCUAUAUUUUCUUUUAAAAUCAUCAUUUUCGUCCUUCGUUUUAAGCCUAUUCGUAUGAGAAUUGUUGAGGGAAAUUCGUUUUUGAAAGUUCCGACCAAGUCAAACUUAAGAGACAUGUGAGUCCUCUAUCAUAGAAUAAUAAAACCUUUUCUUUUUAACUAUAAUCGUCACUAACACCUCAAGGUACUGAUAUUAGCAAUGAUAGGGGAAAAACCCACACACUUUUACCUGAAAAUAAGUGACUGUACUACCCAAAAUAUUUUCUAUGUUAGGAAUCUCACAUGCUAAGUUCUUUGCCAUUAUGGAAAAAUAACUCAGUACAGUUUAUGCAUAUAUGGUAUUUGUUGUAGUCCAUCAUCAUUUUUAACACAUUUUAUUAGAUGGCAGAUGAUGAAUCAAGAUGUAGCACCAGCAAUAUGAUAAUCAGUUUUUUGUUUAAAAACAUUUGUUAAUAGUCCACAAGGAAUGAAACAUCUCUGUGAAAAUUGUAAUGAUAUAAGCUUGUUAUUUUGAAUCCUUACUGAUAAGUUUAAUAAUGUAUGGAAUGUAUCAAGAUUCUGAUAUUAGGUGGUCAAAUUUGGGUAAUACUACCACGGUACAUGUAGUUGUACUUCGGCUAUAGGUAUAUCAGUUUUAUUGCGACUUGACAUGUAUUAAUAGCACUGAAGUUUGGUUAACUGGCAGUUCUGCUCUUAUCCAUCACUUCACACUUGAUAUUUUAUGUGUGAAAGAUAGCCAUAAAAAGUUCCAUGAUUAAAAAUUAUAGGAGCAGCUUUAAAGUAGAGACACCAUGGCCCACACCACUGUUAUGUUAGUAUGUAAUUGUGGUUUACUUUUUAAACGUACUAAACUUAAAAGUAUCAUUUCAACUGGAAUGAAACAUGUGCUGUAAAGUUGCACUUUAUGCAUUUUAAUUCAUGUUGUUGCAAAAAGAAAAAUGCCUGUGUUAUUUAAUAUAAUAACACAUGAAAACUGUCUGGUUGGUUUGCUAGGGCUUUACCUUGUCUCCAACUUUUUUAAAUUAAGAAAAUUCAUUGUAAACAAGAUAGUUGUUCAUUUUGUGAAAUGAGUACUUGUAUUCAGUACAUUAUCAUAUCAUACACCCGUCCUACAUCCUAUACACCAAAUAAUCUAACAUCACUUCCAUAUUGUGCAUGAUCUUUUAUUUCAUGAAUAGUUUGUGUUCUGCUGUAUUGUAUUGCUAUUUGACGAGCUUUUAUAUGAUUGCAUGAUUUUAUGCUUGUACCUCUGUUGUUAUUAUUAUUAUUUUUAUGUUAAUCUGGAAUAGAAGACCAUUGUUUGCUAUCUAUAUCUAAAUGUAAACAGAUAAUGGUUAUAAAUGUUUAAAAGAAAUUGAUCAGUAAUUCAUAAUAAUAUUUUUGUUUGAAAAGCCAAGUAUUUUUUUGGUUGUAAAGGAAGAUUGCUUUCAUGGCCAUAUACAUAUACUGAAUACUACCUGCUUAGAAAAGUUCCUCAGUCUCACAUGAGCAUCUUAUUUAUAUGGAAGUCUGUAAAUUUGAAAAUUCUCUUGACUAAAAUCUUUAAUAUAAAUGAGCCUAAUUGAUUUUGUUUCUUAGUUAGGUUUAAGGUGUUGUUUUUCUUGGGUAAUUUAUUGUUGUUGCUUUGUUUUUGUUUUGUUUUUUUAUACACCAAAAUGUACAUAGUUAAGUAAACUUACAUUAUUUUGUGUGAGCCUAUGGGUAAAUGGUCAAUCACCACCAUUCACGACAGUUCUGUUGGCAGCAGAAUGGUGCAUUUGGAUGACCUGUAUAUCUUGAGGUUUAAACUGGAAACUGUUUUAUCUGCCAAACAUAUCUUCAGUCGAUACAAAAGUAAUGUUUUAUCCUUAAAUUAAUCUAGCAUAAAUAUGAAGGGAAUGUCCUUAAGACUGUUUCUUCCAAAUAAGACCUCUGAAAGUCUUGCAUGUCAUCUUGUUUGGAGACUGUCAAUCCAAUGUUGCCAUUUCUGCCAUGCUGGCCUAACAUUUGACAUGUUUGUGUGCAAUGAAUAGAAUUGAUGAUAGUUGUUACUGCUUGUGAUUGUGUGUAUAAACUUUUAAAUAUUCUUUUAUCAAAAUAAAAUGUUACAAAUA
Dreissena polymorpha is the source of this 3565-nucleotide long non-coding RNA. RefSeq lists it as uncharacterized. The record is from RefSeq and is a predicted model, not a curated record. The transcript is spliced from 2 exons. NCBI's taxonomy places the organism in Eukaryota, Metazoa, Mollusca, Bivalvia, Myida, Dreissenidae.